GUGGGGAAUUUUGGACAAUGGGCGCAAGCCUGAUCCAGCAAUGCCGCGUGCAGGAAGAAGGCCUUCGGGUUGUAAACUGCUUUUGUACGGAACGAAACGGUCCUGGUUAAUACCUGGGGCUAUUGACGGUACCGUAAGAAUAAGCACCGGCUAACUACGUGCCAGCAGCCGCGGUAAUACGUAGGGUGCGAGCGUUAAUCGGAAUUACUGGGCGUAAAGCGUGCGCAGGCGGUGCUGUAAGACAGGCGUGAAAUCCCCGGGCUCAACCUGGGAAUUGCGCUUGUGACUGCAGUGCUGGAGUACGGCAGAGGGGGAUGGAAUUCCGCGUGUAGCAGUGAAAUGCGUAGAUAUGCGGAGGAACACCGAUGGCGAAGGCAGUCCCCUGGGCCUGUACUGACGCUCAUGCACGAAAGCGUGGGGAGCAAACAGGAUUAGAAACCCGGGUAGUCC
This 450-nucleotide ribosomal RNA is filed under the name uncultured bacterium. RNAcentral describes it as "partial 16S ribosomal RNA". It matches the Rfam family "Bacterial small subunit ribosomal RNA", at positions 354 to 796 of the family's 1533-position model. The record is from RNAcentral.